CCAGCAGGCAGGCGCGACCCGCGCACAAACGGCGGCGCAGCAGCAGAUCGCGCUCCGCACCGGACAGGCGGCCGAAGACGGCGGGCUCGCGCAGCACCUCCAGAGGUGAAAGACAGAAUGGAAGGCUGGGAAGAAUUGUGGUACAGCCAGUACUUCUGAAAAGGAGAGGCCAGGGCGCCUCCUCAGGCUCUAUAAUGUUGUGUUUCUCAAAAAACGAAGUAUCAAAGGUUCAACAAUAACAAGUUCAACUUCAGGGGUACAGGAGUCCUUCCCUUUAAGACACUGCCUGUAUGUUUGGAAUAUUUCAGUUUAUAGUUUAAGAUGUUACUCCAUAUUUACAUAGCUACUGUGAUGUAUCAAUAAAGUGUGCUGGUCUACACUAAA
This is a long non-coding RNA of Jaculus jaculus (lesser Egyptian jerboa), 384 nucleotides long. RefSeq lists it as uncharacterized. NCBI's taxonomy places the organism in Eukaryota, Metazoa, Chordata, Mammalia, Rodentia, Dipodidae. The transcript has 2 exons. The record is from RefSeq and is a predicted model, not a curated record.